RNAcentral lists this non-coding RNA (21 nucleotides) under Caenorhabditis elegans. The record is from RNAcentral. Lineage: Eukaryota; Metazoa; Nematoda; Chromadorea; Rhabditida; Rhabditidae.
UAUUAUGCCCUUUUCCGUUUU